GGACCGCUAGCUCAAUCGGUAGAGCAGCGGACUCUUAAUCCGUUGGUUCGGGGUUCGAGUCCCCGGCGGUCCACCA
Molecule: transfer RNA, 76 nt
Filed under: Acidobacteriota bacterium
Lineage: Bacteria; Pseudomonadati; Acidobacteriota
Description: Acidobacteria bacterium (hot springs metagenome) tRNA-Lys
Rfam family: tRNA
About the family: Transfer RNA (tRNA) molecules are approximately 80 nucleotides in length. Their secondary structure includes four short double-helical elements and three loops (D, anti-codon, and T loops).
Source: RNAcentral